RNAcentral lists this ribosomal RNA (1181 nucleotides) under Escherichia coli. RNAcentral describes it as "partial 23S ribosomal RNA". It matches the Rfam family "Bacterial large subunit ribosomal RNA", at positions 419 to 1604 of the family's 2925-position model. The record is from RNAcentral. Lineage: Bacteria; Pseudomonadati; Pseudomonadota; Gammaproteobacteria; Enterobacterales; Enterobacteriaceae.
GGGACACGUGGUAUCCUGUCUGAAUAUGGGGGGACCAUCCUCCAAGGCUAAAUACUCCUGACUGACCGAUAGUGAACCAGUACCGUGAGGGAAAGGCGAAAAGAACCCCGGCGAGGGGAGUGAAAAAGAACCUGAAACCGUGUACGUACAAGCAGUGGGAGCACGCUUAGGCGUGUGACUGCGUACCUUUUGUAUAAUGGGUCAGCGACUUAUAUUCUGUAGCAAGGUUAACCGAAUAGGGGAGCCGAAGGGAAACCGAGUCUUAACUGGGCGUUAAGUUGCAGGGUAUAGACCCGAAACCCGGUGAUCUAGCCAUGGGCAGGUUGAAGGUUGGGUAACACUAACUGGAGGACCGAACCGACUAAUGUUGAAAAAUUAGCGGAUGACUUGUGGCUGGGGGUGAAAGGCCAAUCAAACCGGGAGAUAGCUGGUUCUCCCCGAAAGCUAUUUAGGUAGCGCCUCGUGAAUUCAUCUCCGGGGGUAGAGCACUGUUUCGGCAAGGGGGUCAUCCCGACUUACCAACCCGAUGCAAACUGCGAAUACCGGAGAAUGUUAUCACGGGAGACACACGGCGGGUGCUAACGUCCGUCGUGAAGAGGGAAACAACCCAGACCGCCAGCUAAGGUCCCAAAGUCAUGGUUAAGUGGGAAACGAUGUGGGAAGGCCCAGACAGCCAGGAUGUUGGCUUAGAAGCAGCCAUCAUUUAAAGAAAGCGUAAUAGCUCACUGGUCGAGUCGGCCUGCGCGGAAGAUGUAACGGGGCUAAACCAUGCACCGAAGCUGCGGCAGCGACACUAUGUGUUGUUGGGUAGGGGAGCGUUCUGUAAGCCUGUGAAGGUGUGCUGUGAGGCAUGCUGGAGGUAUCAGAAGUGCGAAUGCUGACAUAAGUAACGAUAAAGCGGGUGAAAAGCCCGCUCGCCGGAAGACCAAGGGUUCCUGUCCAACGUUAAUCGGGGCAGGGUGAGUCGACCCCUAAGGCGAGGCCGAAAGGCGUAGUCGAUGGGAAACAGGUUAAUAUUCCUGUACUUGGUGUUACUGCGAAGGGGGGACGGAGAAGGCUAUGUUGGCCGGGCGACGGUUGUCCCGGUUUAAGCGUGUAGGCUGGUUUUCCAGGCAAAUCCGGAAAAUCAAGGCUGAGGCGUGAUGACGAGGCACUACGGUGCUGAAGCAACAAAUGCCCUG